RNAcentral lists this ribosomal RNA (320 nucleotides) under uncultured eukaryote. RNAcentral describes it as "partial 18S ribosomal RNA". It matches the Rfam family "Eukaryotic small subunit ribosomal RNA", at positions 1470 to 1796 of the family's 1831-position model. The record is from RNAcentral.
GCCCUAGAUGUUCUGGGCCGCACGCGCGCUACACUGAACAGUUCAACAAGUCUUAACCUUGGCCGAUAGGUCUGGGUAAUCUUUGAACGCUGUUCGUGAUUGGGAUAGACCUUUGCAAUUAUGGGUCUUCAACGAGGAAUUCCUAGUAAACGCAAGUCAUCAGCUUGCAUUGAUUACGUCCCUGCCCUUUGUACACACCGCCCGUCGCACCUACCGAUUGAAUGGUCCGGUGAAAUCUCGGGACGGCGGCUUGGUCGCUUGCGUCCGACUGCUGAAACUUGAUUAAACCAUAUCAUUUAGAGGAAGGUGAANUCGUAACA